GGCCGCCCCACUGCGGAGGCUCCUUUCUCCCCUGAGGAUGUGCUGCGCACGCCCCGCCCGCUGCAGCCCCCAGGCUGGCGCCGCCCGCGCCGUUUGCCCUCGGGCCUCCAGCCCCCGCUUCCUUCUCGCCCCUCCUCGUGGCUCCGACGCUCGAGGCGGCCUUGCCCCCGACCUUGCGUGUAGCCGCCUGGUAUCCUGAGAGGCGAGGAGCGGCGUCCUGGCGCCUCCGCCUUGGCCUCUGGGGCGCCGCGGCCCCUCCACCCCGCCACCCCAGAUCUGCACUGCGCGGGUCCCCCACACCUCCAGGGUAGACGGUAGGACAAAGGGAGGUGGCUGUUGGGUUGGGCAUCUCGUAGGCUCCUGAAUGCACUGCAUCGUCGUUUUAAACAAAGCACAUCCACGGCCCAACUGUUUUUUUAUCCACCCCCACUUAACCAUCAGGAGAAUAAACAAGUUAUUUUCCCUAUCCCAUAACAUUCCCACUUGGUUUUCCCAACCACAAACAAAAUUUAUUCCUGAGACAGCAAUUUUGAGGAGUUUGUUGACCUCAUUCAUCCCGGGAUUACAAUGAUAUUAUUUCACUCAAAAGGGGUGCGUUGGACGUGUAGUUCACCUGAAGAAAACACUUGAUAGUUUCAGCAACUGGUUGGUUCUGGGCGGUUGUUUCAGAUAGGUGUUGGUGAACAUGGAGAGGGCUUGAGAAAGGCAGCAGCACCAGGUGUCCCAAAAAGAGGUUACUUGGAACCGGAUGCAGGCGUCUAGGACGCAAACUGCCAGAGAUCUCAGCCAAAACAGUGGGAGUAAAGAUCUCAAAACCAAGCCCAUAUAUUAAGUACUUUCCCUCUAAGAACCGGAAUUGCAGGUAUGCUAAUUUUAAUAAAUCCUUACUUCAGUAUCUUGGCCCAGAGCAAAGAAAGAUCCGGAAAUUGAGAGAAGGCCAGGAAUGUGGGUCUAUUAUGGCCAAAGAGUAUUUGGGCAGAAUACAUUGACUUAGUUGCUAUCAUUUUUCUUUGGACAAGAUAGGAUUGCUAACGAUUAAGUUGUAAAAAUAAAGGUAUUUUUAAGUUGUCCUAUUUUGAAAAAUUGUAAGGAUCUAGGAUUUUAAUUUUCAAAAAUUUUCAAAACUAUGGAGCAUAAUAUAAUAUUCUAUAAAACAUACAUCUUUCUUUGAAAAGUUUAUACACACCUUGUUUUCUGAUCUAAUCCUUGAUUCUCAGCACAACCUUAGUGUUCUGAAUAAUCUGAAAGCAUGUAUGUGAACUCACCUGGGAUUUUGCUUUCAAAUUUCACUUUCCAACCAAUUUGCUGCUAAUUAGCAGGUGUGUGUUCAUUCAGUGAAAGAGCCUGG
This 1348-nucleotide long non-coding RNA is filed under the name Marmota monax (woodchuck). Lineage: Eukaryota; Metazoa; Chordata; Mammalia; Rodentia; Sciuridae. The record is from RNAcentral.